CGUACACUCCUGCGGGAGGCAGCAGUGGGGAAUUUUGGACAAUGGGCGAAAGCCUGAUCCAGCCAUGCCGCGUGCAGGAUGAAGGCCUUCGGGUUGUAAACUGCUUUUGUACGGAACGAAACGGCCUUUCUAAUAAAGAGGGCUAAUGACGGUACCGUAAGAAUAAGCACCGGCUAACUACGUGCCAGCAGCCGCGGUAAUACGUAGGGUGCAAGCGUUAAUCGGAAUUACUGGGCGUAAAGCGUGCGCAGGCGGUUAUGUAAGACAGUUGUGAAAUCCCCGGGCUCAACCUGGGAACUGCAUCUGUGACUGCAUAGCUAGAGUACGGUAGAGGGGGAUGGAAUUCCGCGUGUAGCAGUGAAAUGCGUAGAUAUGCGGAGGAACACCGAUGGCGAAGGCAAUCCCCUGGACCUGUACUGACGCUCAUGCACGAAAGCGUGGGGAGCAAACAGGAUUAGAUACCCGGGUAGUCCCAUG
This 477-nucleotide ribosomal RNA is filed under the name uncultured organism. RNAcentral's name for it is "partial 16S ribosomal RNA". It matches the Rfam family "Bacterial small subunit ribosomal RNA", at positions 330 to 799 of the family's 1533-position model. The record is from RNAcentral.